AUUGAACGCUGGCGGCAGGCCUAACACAUGCAAGUCGAGCGAGCGGCGGACGGGUGAGUAAUGCCUAGGAAACUGCCUGAUGGAGGGGGAUAACUACUGGAAACGGUAGCUAAUACCGCAUACCAUCGGAUGUGCCCAGAUGGGAUUAGCUAGUUGGUGGGGUAAUGGCUUACCUAGGCGACGAUCCCUAGCUGGUCUGGGAGGAUGACCAGCCAAAAUGGAAAUUUGACACGGGCCAGACUCCUACGGGAGGGAACAGGUGGGGAUAUUGCACAAUGGGCGCAAGCCUGGUGCAGCCAUGCCGCGUGUAUGAAGAAGGCCUUCGGGUUGUAAAGUACUUUCAGCGGGGAGGCGUUACCCGCAGAAGAAGCACCGGCUAACUCCGUGCCAGCCACCGCGGUAAUAC
This 406-nucleotide ribosomal RNA is filed under the name uncultured bacterium. RNAcentral's name for it is "partial 16S ribosomal RNA". It matches the Rfam family "Bacterial small subunit ribosomal RNA", at positions 30 to 526 of the family's 1533-position model. The record is from RNAcentral.